Molecule: ribosomal RNA, 550 nt
Filed under: uncultured bacterium
Lineage: Bacteria
Description: bacterial SSU rRNA
Rfam family: Bacterial small subunit ribosomal RNA
Source: RNAcentral
UAGGGAAUCUUCCGCAAUGGGCGAAAGCCUGACGGAGCAACGCCGCGUGAGUGAUGAAGGUCUUCGGAUCGUAAAACUCUGUUAUUAGGGAAGAACAUAUGUGUAAGUAACUGUGCACAUCUUGACGGUACCUAAUCAGAAAGCCACGGCUAACUACGUGCCAGCAGCCGCGGUAAUACGUAGGUGGCAAGCGUUAUCCGAAAUUAUUGGGCGUAAAGCGCGCGUAGGCGGUUUUUUAAGUCUGAUGUGAAAGCCCACGGCUCAACCGUGGAGGGUCAUUGGAAACUGGAAAACUUGAGUGCAGAAGAGGAAAGUGGAAUUCCAUGUGUAGCGGUGAAAUGCGCAGAGAUAUGGAGGAACACCAGUGGCGAAGGCGGCUUUCUGGUCUGUAACUGACGCUGAUGUGCGAAAGCGUGGGGAUCAAACAGGAUUAGAUACCCUGGUAGUCCACGCCGUAAACGAUGAGUGCUAAGUGUUAGGGGGUUUCCGCCCCUUAGUGCUGCAGCUAACGCAUUAAGCACUCCGCCUGGGGAGUACGACCGCAAGGUUG